Non-coding RNA from Camelus dromedarius (Arabian camel), 78 nucleotides. The record is from the annotation of a RefSeq genome assembly. Lineage: Eukaryota; Metazoa; Chordata; Mammalia; Artiodactyla; Camelidae.
UGAGAGGAGGGUAUAGCUCAGUGGUAGAGCGCAUGCUUAACAUGCAUGGGGUCCUGGGUUCAAUCCCCAGUACCUCAA